Molecule: ribosomal RNA, 255 nt
Filed under: uncultured bacterium
Lineage: Bacteria
Description: partial 16S ribosomal RNA
Rfam family: Bacterial small subunit ribosomal RNA
Source: RNAcentral
UACGUAGGAGGCGAGCGUUGUCCGGAAUUACUGGGCGUAAAGAGCGCGUAGGCGGCGCGGUACGACGGAUGUGAAAGCCCCCGGCUCAACUGGGGAGGGUCAUGCGUAACGGCCGUGCUUUGGAGUGCAGGAGAGGGAAGUGGAACUCCGGGAGUAGCGGUGAAAUGCGUAGAGACCCGGAGGAACACCAGUGGCGAAGGCGGCUUCCUGGUCUGCAACUGACGCUGUGGCGCGAAAGCUAGGGGAGCAAACGGG